UGCANGUCGAGCGAGGCCCUUCUUCGGGAGGUGCCCUAGCGGCGAACGGGUGAGUAACACGUGGGCAACCUGCCCUCAGCUCUGGGAUAACUCCAAGAAAUUGGUGCUAAUACCGGAUGUGACCGCUGACCGCAUGGUCUGGUGGUGGAAAGAUUCAUCGGCUGAGGAUGGGCCCGCGGCCUAUCAGCUUGUUGGUGGGGUAAUGGCCCACCAAGGCGACGACGGGUAGCCGGCCUGAGAGGGUGACCGGCCACACUGGGACUGAGACACGGCCCAGACUCCUACGGGAGGCAGCAGUGGGGAAUAUUGCGCAAUGGGCGAAAGCCUGACGCAGCGACGCCGCGUGAGGGAUGACGGCCUUCGGGUUGUAAACCUCUUUCAGUAGGGACGAAGCGAAAGUGACGGUACCUACAGAAGAAGCACCGGCCAACUACGUGCCAGCAGCCGCGGUAAUACGUAGGGUGCAAGCGUUGUCCGGAAUUAUUGGGCGUAAAGAGCUCGUAGGCGGUCUGUCACGUCGGCUGUGAAAACCCGAGGCUCAACCUCGGGCCUGCAGUCGAUACGGGCAAACUAGAGUACUGCAGGGGAGACUGGAAUUCCUGGUGUAGCGGUGAAAUGCGCAGAUAUCAGGAGGAACACCGGUGGCGAAGGCGGGUCUCUGGGCAGUAACUGACGCUGAGGAGCGAAAGCGUGGGGAGCGAACAGGAUUAGAUACCCUGGUAGUCCACGCCGUAAACGUUGGGCGCUAGAUGUGGGGCUCAUUCCACGAGUUCCGUGUCG
Molecule: ribosomal RNA, 780 nt
Filed under: Modestobacter muralis
Lineage: Bacteria; Bacillati; Actinomycetota; Actinomycetes; Geodermatophilales; Geodermatophilaceae
Description: bacterial SSU rRNA
Rfam family: Bacterial small subunit ribosomal RNA
Source: RNAcentral